CAUCGCAGGCUUGUAACGGUAACAGCGGCGAGUGAGCGGCAAAAGCUCAAAUUUGAAAUCUGGCACCUUCGGUGUCCGAGUUGUAAUUUGAAGAAGGUAACUUUGGAGUUGGCUCUUGUCUAUGUUCCUUGGAACAGGACGUCACAGAGGGUGAGAAUCCCGUGCGAUGAGAUGCCCAAUUCUAUGUAAAGUGCUUUCGAAGAGUCGAGUUGUUUGGGAAUGCAGCUCUAAGUGGGUGGUAAAUUCCAUCUAAAGCUAAAUAUUGGCGAGAGACCGAUAGCGAACAAGUACAGUGAUGGAAAGAUGAAAAGAACUUUGAAAAGAGAGUGAAAAAGUACGUGAAAUUGUUGAAAGGGAAGGGCUUGAGAUCAGACUUGGUAUUUUGCGAUCCUUUCCUUCUUGGUUGGGUUCCUCGCAGCUUACUGGGCCAGCAUCGGUUUGGAUGGUAGGAUAAUGACUAAGGAAUGUGGCUCUACUUCGGUGGAGUGUUAUAGCCUUGGUUGAUACUGCCUGUCUAGACCGAGGACUGCGUCUUUUGACUAGGAUGUUGGCAUAAUGAUCUUAAGCCACCCGUCUUGAAACACGGACCACAA
This 593-nucleotide ribosomal RNA is filed under the name Debaryomyces hansenii. RNAcentral's name for it is "LSU rRNA". It matches the Rfam family "Eukaryotic large subunit ribosomal RNA", at positions 56 to 671 of the family's 3401-position model. The record is from RNAcentral. Lineage: Eukaryota; Fungi; Ascomycota; Pichiomycetes; Serinales; Debaryomycetaceae.